CACCUCUAGCAUUUCCAGUAUUAGAGGCACUGCCUGCCCAGUGACAUCUGUUUAAACGGCCGCGGUAUCCUAACCGUGCAAAGGUAGCAUAAUCACUUGUUCCCUAAAUAGGGACUUGUAUGAAUGGCCACACGAGGGUUUUACUGUCUCUUACUUCCAAUCAGUGAAAUUGACCUUCCCGUGAAGAGGCGGGAAUGACUAAAUAAGACGAGAAGACCCUAUGGAGCUUUAAUUAACUGAUUCACAAAAAACAACACACAAACCUAACCUUCAGGGACAACAAAAUUUUUGAUUGAAUCAGCAAUUUCGGUUGGGGUGACCUCGGAGAACAAAACAACCUCCGAGUGAUUUAAAUCCAGACUAACCAGUCAAAAUAUAUAAUCAUUUAUUGAUCCAAACCAUUGAUCAACGGAACAAGUUACCCUAGGGAUAACAGCGCAAUCCUAUUCCAGAGUCCAUAUCGACAAUUAGGGUUUACGACCUUGAUGUUGGAUCAAGACAUCCUAAUGGUGCAACCGCUAUUAAGGGUUCGUUUGUUCAACGAUUAAAGUCUU
This 554-nucleotide ribosomal RNA is filed under the name Equus caballus (horse). Its description in RNAcentral is "partial large subunit ribosomal RNA". It matches the Rfam family "Bacterial large subunit ribosomal RNA", at positions 1816 to 2597 of the family's 2925-position model. The record is from RNAcentral. Lineage: Eukaryota; Metazoa; Chordata; Mammalia; Perissodactyla; Equidae.